This is a non-coding RNA of Chryseobacterium sp. MOF25P, 90 nucleotides long. Lineage: Bacteria; Pseudomonadati; Bacteroidota; Flavobacteriia; Flavobacteriales; Weeksellaceae. The record is from Rfam.
CAAUAGCCCCGAUUGCAACGACAUCCUUUUUCUGAGUUGGAUUGUUAAAAAGCGAUGGCGAAAAAGAUAUAGUGGAAAGCGGGAAAAAGC